AACACAGAUUCUUUUUGUAAUGGCCUUUACUAGUCUGUAGCUUUGUGAGCCCUGGGAGCUAACACCAAGGACCACAGUCUCAUCCACAGAGACAAGGGCUUCAAGGACAGAGCAAGGGCUGCCCUCAAGUGGCUUGGUGGGCACUGGGCAUUGCCAAUGGGACCAGGUGGAAAACAUCAAGGGUCUGUUGGUCUUUUUAAAGCAGUGAAUAUUUUCUUCUGUUUUGAAGAACUUUUCUGCGCAUGGGAGAAGAGGCAUGCCACACAGGAGAUGGGUUUUUGUUGGUUCGCUGGGAUUGGGCAAUGUUUCCCAAACUCGCAUUCCGUGGAGCAAGGCUCUGCAGUCAUAAGAAAUACUGAGGAACAACAAGGACAAGAAAGUAUUCCAUGAUCAGGUCAUGCAGUGAAAUGCUGGUUUCUAAAAAAGCAGGAAGAGUUGCUUAUUAUGUAUCUUCAAGAAUCUUUUAUAUACCACUGUGUUUUAUGAAUGUCUAAUGAAGAGAAUUUAGCAUGGUUCUCAAAUGCAUUUAACUCGAGGAAACUUUUCUCCUAAAAACAUUUUAACAUCUCUUGAACUAACGUUCUGCAGGGAGGGGAAGGGAAAGUAGGAAGGAAGAGGAGAGAAGAGAAAAGAGAAGAAGCAGGAUGUGGAUUUACAAACACACACACUGGCCAAGGUGACGCCACCAGAGCCCUCCUCUCCUGGUCUUGUGUUUCCUGUCCCCUCCUGCCACCCACACACACUGCCCACUUCUGCACAGUGGACAGAAGCACUUCACAGGUCCCCUGUAUAGUUUCUCAACAGCUACAAGUUCCCAUCAAUGUUUCUGCUUGUUCAUCAUAGAUUAUUCCAGAAUUUAAUGGGAUAAUUCAAAGUUUUCUCAUUUUUUUAACGUUUAUUUUUGAGAGAGAGACAGAGUGUGAGUGGGGGAGGGACAGAGAGAGAGGGAGACACAGAAUCCAA
Long non-coding RNA from Felis catus (domestic cat), 963 nucleotides. RefSeq lists it as uncharacterized. NCBI's taxonomy places the organism in Eukaryota, Metazoa, Chordata, Mammalia, Carnivora, Felidae. The transcript has 3 exons. The record is from RefSeq and is a predicted model, not a curated record.